Tetranychus urticae (two-spotted spider mite) is the source of this 1167-nucleotide long non-coding RNA. RefSeq lists it as uncharacterized. The record is from RefSeq and is a predicted model, not a curated record. Lineage: Eukaryota; Metazoa; Arthropoda; Arachnida; Trombidiformes; Tetranychidae.
CUAUUAUCUGAAUUAAUCGUCAUUACUUGCAAUUUUGUAUUUAAUUUUCAUUUCUUCACUAAUUUAUUUUCAUCUUAAUAUUAAUAGAUUUAAUUUGUUUAACUUUUAAUGUGUCUAGUUUUUUUUCUUGUCUAGAAUUGAAAAUUGUCAAUCAAUAUCUAGGGUUUAAUUCAAGUUUUAAGAUUAAUUACUCUGUGAUUUACUUUCUUGUUUGCUCCAGUUACUUUUUUUCUCGUCUCUCGUCUGUUAUCAACAUCGAGAAGGAGGGAAAAACGUUAAUCAAUUAUAUUUGGUGUACUUUCGUAUGGAUUAUUUUAUUGUUUCAAACAUUAUCAACAAUAGUCAAAUGUAGUCGAUAAAAUAUUGGAAAACGAAAAGAAUGCGUUGGUUUUUUUCUGGUUAUUAUUGCUGUUGAUAAUCUGUGUCAAGUCGUAUUUGUAUCAUUACAUUGAUUGGCUUAUCGUAAUGUUUUGAUUCAACAACAUGGAUUGUACUCAAAGCUGUAUCGUACAAUUGAAUACAUGAAAGAAAAGGCUGAGCCUGUUUGCUGUAAAGUGUAUACAUAAUACAAAUACAAAUGCAUCUGUAUAUUGAUAUCCUAAUUGAAAAUCGAUUUCAAGCCUUUGAGCAACUAAUAUCAUGAAAAAAAGGAGAAUAAUAAAAGCCAACAAAAAGAAAGAGCAAAGAAAAUAGUGGAUGAAAAUGACAAGGGAGCAAAAUUUAGAAGAGCAAGAAAUGGAAGAAGAAUCACAAUUUUCAGGUUCAUGGGAUUGUCCUAAUCCAAUCCAAAGAAGCAAAUUGAAGAGAAACGAAGGCAAAAAAGUUGACUUGUUUCGCUCAUUUUGAUUAUCAUUAUACCAUGAGACUCAGCAAAUGUUUGAACUGAAAAUGAAUUGUGGAUAUUCAAAGACAGAAUUAAUGAAGCAUCGAGAAUCGGUUGAAAUGGGGAAACAGAGAGCCAGGAAGAUAUGAUUUCCAAUCAUUAUUAUCAUUUUGUGGAAAGAAGAUGGGAAUGAAAGGAAAAAUAAAAAGGAGAUUCAAGAUGAAGAUUGAAUUGAAAUGGUCAUUUUUCAUGUAAACCUUUUGAGGUCAACUUUCAUUGUAAUGGAAACAUUCUUUUUAUAUGUUUGCAAAAACAAAAUAUUGACCCAAUCUUUUAGAGUUGAA